This 396-nucleotide long non-coding RNA is filed under the name Prunus persica (peach). RNAcentral's name for it is "long non-coding RNA (PPER_LNC006426)". The record is from RNAcentral. Lineage: Eukaryota; Viridiplantae; Streptophyta; Magnoliopsida; Rosales; Rosaceae.
UUGUUAGUGUGUUCCUCUUUUCUACUCUUCUCCUUUCUGUCUACUCAGAGCCUCAACUUGAGAGCUCACAGUUUCUUGGUACAAGGAAAAUGUCAGAGUUAGAUAAAAAUCAAGACCAGCCUAAGAAAAUCAAGCCUGCCAAUUCCCUUUCCUCCAAAAACCAAACCAAGCUCAUCAAGCCCGCCUUGUCUUCCUCCAAGAACCAGACCAAGCUGAUCAAAUCUAGCCUAUCCUCUAAAAACCAAACCAAGCUCCUCAAACCCAACCUCUCCUCCAAGAACCAAACCAAGCUUAUCAAAUCCAGUUCCAAUUCCAUCAAGACAUCCUCAUCCCCCACCAAGAAUAUUGAGCUCAAAAAGCUCAAUUCCACAUCAAAAUCCUCCAAUUCUGUCAAAC